Molecule: ribosomal RNA, 253 nt
Filed under: uncultured bacterium
Lineage: Bacteria
Description: partial 16S ribosomal RNA
Rfam family: Bacterial small subunit ribosomal RNA
Source: RNAcentral
UACGUAGGGUGCGAGCGUUAAUCGGAAUUACUGGGCGUAAAGCGUGCGCAGGCGGCGCGUUAAGACAGGUGUGAAAGCCCCGAGCUUAACUUGGGAAUUGCGCUUGUGACUGGCGUGCUGGAGUGUGGCAGAGGUAGCUGGAAUUCCCGGUGUAGCGGUGAAAUGCGUAGAUAUCGGGAGGAAUACCUAUGGCGAAAGCAGGCUACUGGACCAUCACUGACUCUGAUCUGCGAAAGCUAGGGGAGCAAACAGG